GUGAAUCAUCGAAUCUUUGAACGCAUAUUGCACUCUCUGGUAUUCCGGAGAGUAUGCCUGUUUGAGGGUCAGUAAAAUCAAAAUCGGUGCGAUGCCCUUUGGGUGAUGCACCGGAGUUUGGGUAAUUUUAACCCUUUUUUUUUAGAGACCUAAAAUUUACAUUCUUUUUUCCUCACUCUUGUGUCGUACAUAUUUUUUUUUUAUUCGUAUACAUUGGUGGCUAAUAUUUUAUUACAUCGUGAAUCAC
Molecule: unclassified non-coding RNA, 247 nt
Filed under: Glomeraceae sp.
Lineage: Eukaryota; Fungi; Glomeromycota; Glomeromycetes; Glomerales; Glomeraceae
Description: partial contains 5.8S ribosomal RNA and internal transcribed spacer 2
Rfam family: 5.8S ribosomal RNA (bases 1-71)
Source: RNAcentral